GCGUGCGCAGGCGGUUAUGUAAGACAGAUGUGAAAUACCCCGGGCCUCAACCUGGGAACUGCAUUUGUGACUGCAUGGCUAGAGUACGGUAGAGGGGGAGUGGAAUUCCGCGUGUAGCAGUGAAAUGCGUAGAUAUGCGGAGGAACACCGAUGGCGAAGGCAAUCCCCUGGACCUGUACUGACGCUCAUGCACGAAAGCGUGGGGAGCAAACAGGAUUAGAUACCCCUGU
Molecule: ribosomal RNA, 230 nt
Filed under: uncultured bacterium
Lineage: Bacteria
Description: partial 16S ribosomal RNA
Rfam family: Bacterial small subunit ribosomal RNA
Source: RNAcentral